RNAcentral lists this long non-coding RNA (2189 nucleotides) under Triticum aestivum (bread wheat). Its description in RNAcentral is "long non-coding RNA (TAES_LNC011996)". Lineage: Eukaryota; Viridiplantae; Streptophyta; Magnoliopsida; Poales; Poaceae. The record is from RNAcentral.
GCGAUAAUGGGUCGGGUGUCCUCUCUCCGGUAAGACCUCCCUCCUCGUUUUCUUCCCCUCUCCUCCAUGAUUUUCUGAAUUUCUAGAGUUAGGAUUUUUGGUUUUUGGGAGCGGGGUAGAGGAAGAGGAAGAAGGCCAUGUGGUAGAGAAGAGGAGGACCUCAAGGCUGUGGAGAAGGAGGAACAACGCUAGGAGUUUUUUUCUUCGAUCGGGCCAAAGGUGAUAGCCCUGUUUCUUCCCUAUUUUAGAUGAACACCUCCUUCUUUCUUCCUUAGAUGAACUGCUAAUUAAGAAAGAACUGGGAGUCUACAAGCUGCCCCAUGGUUGCCUUCGUUUCCACCAAGGCUAACUAAUUUUCUUGCAUGUUCGAUUUUUGAUAUCUUCCCGAUCUCCCAAGUUCACAAUAUUUUUUACAAAGAAUUCAUAGAAAUUAUACAGCCUCAUUUUAGCUAGGUCUAGAUCAACUGGGUGCGCUAUGCAUUCAUAGUUGCGAAACAAUUCUGGAUAUUUCCAUGGUAAAUUUUCUGGAAUAUCUGAUUGUUCAUGUAUUGGUAAAAAAUCCAAAAAUUGAAUAGUAGCAAGGUGCAUUCUCUAGGAAGAAUUUUAUGUUUUCACUCUUCUGUAUAUAUAUACAGGAGCAUGCAUUUAAUUAGCAAUGUGCUGGUAAAAAGAUGGAUCUGUCAUUAGCAUAAAGUAGUUCUUACAUAUGCUAUAGACGAAUCCUUUUUUAGGUUUUAGGGGUGCUAUAUAGACGAUUCAUUGAUGAAGGAACAUUUGUGGAAACUGAUUUGAGAAAUUAUUGUUGAUAUAGGUAAUGACACUGUAGUUGUACAUGAGAACGGUUGUCUUGUAAGAUGUUUUGAGCAUUAGUUUGGGUGCUCAAUUGCAACAAUUACUUCUCUAUAAAGGGAUGUUUCAUUCUUGGACGGUUCCCUACACGCAUGCUUCCACCAUAUACAAUAUGGUAUUACUUUUGAAAGUUCUUAGUGGUCAAAUAAUUAUGUUGUUCCUAUUCUCUUUAUUCAAAAUGACAUCCGAUGAACUUGAAGGUUACACUGGCAUCUGUGUGACUAACAGCUAGCUAACACUGGAAUUUUCAGAAUGAAGAUGCAUGCUUACGUGUUUUAGGAGUUGCUAGUCGUACAAUAGAAGCAAUGAAUGAACCUAUGAGGUGUAGUUCUUCUCGCUAUUUUCAUUUCGAGUGUAAUAAUCUGCUGGAGGUAUUUUCCAUUCAGACUAGUGAAGUUUUGCAUCCUGCAAGUGUGCAUAUGUAUUCUGGAAGAAAAAGAAAAGCAUACCCAGUAAGAUGUAAUCCUUGCCAUUUUAUUAAGCAAGUUAAUUCAUACUAUUUUUAUGUCCUCCUUGACAAUGUAUUUGAUCAAUUGUCUAAAAGUUUCAUACAUUGUGAGAGUAAAAUAAAGUACAUUCAGAAUACUGUUCUUGAUUCAAUAAAAAUAAAGUACGUUGCAGAUGGCCGAUGUCGGAGUAGAAGCAUCAGUGCGCACCACCACUAGCUCUUCCUCGACCCUCCUUGCGACAGCCUUCCGCUGCGGCCACUGCCUCCUCCUGGACCGCGCUUCAGCAACAUGCAGCACCUUCAUUGCCCGUGCUUCAUCUGACACACUGGAGGGUUUGCACCAAGCCUCCAUCACUGUCCCUGACUGCCUAUCUAUAUGUGUUUUCUCUCACUCGAUGUAUUUGUAUCAUAUGAAAUCGAAAUGCAAUGGACUGAUGUAUUGGUAAAUGUAGGAUUGUAGAUGGUAUCUCUGUUUUUUUUGUCUGUUUUUGGUUUGGACAGAAGCAUUCUCAUGUUGUGCAAGAGAAGUGGAAGAACUGCAAGUAAGGAAAGGAGAUACCAGAGUCUGCGAAGUGGUUGUAGUUGUUACACAUAUAGAGAAUGUUGCUGCACAAUGCAUGAGAACCAUAUAAAUAGUCAUAGCAUGUUGUCUUUGUAGCUCAAAAUAUUUGCUGUCGCAAGACUUUCAUGUCAUCCUGGCUGUGCUGCGAAUUUACCCUUUCUAUGAAUUGAUGCUGUUAGGUGCUCCGUUUCAUCAUGACUAUAGCCAGUGCUAGCCUGCUUUUUAAGUUUUUUUUUUGGAACACAUAAUAUUUUAUUGAUCUAGCAACAACGUACAUGUACAAAUGUGCAUUGCAACACUAGAGAUUGCACCAUUACAUGAGCAUUGAGG